Molecule: ribosomal RNA, 459 nt
Filed under: uncultured bacterium
Lineage: Bacteria
Description: partial 16S ribosomal RNA
Rfam family: Bacterial small subunit ribosomal RNA
Source: RNAcentral
CCUACGGGAGGCAGCAGUGAGGAAUAUUGGUCAAUGGUCGGGAGACUGAACCAGCCAAGCCGCGUGAGGGAUGAAGGUACAGAGUAUCGUAAACCUCUUUUGUCAGGGAACAAAGGCGGGGACGCGUCCCCGGAUGAGUGUACCUGAAGAAACAGCAUCGGCUAACUCCGUGCAAGCAGCCGCGGUAAUACGGAGGAUGCGAGCGUUAUCCGGAUGUAUUGGGUUUAAAGGGUGGGCAGGCGGUCGUUUAAGCUAGAGGUAAAAGCCCGGGGCUCAACCCCGGCCCGCCGUUGAAACUGGCAGUCUCGAGUUGGAGAGAAGUAUGCGGAAUGCGCGGUGUAGCGGUGAAAUGCAUAGAUAUCGCGCAGAACUCCGAUUGCGAAGGCGGCAUGCCGGCUCCACACUGACGCUGAGGCACGAAAGCGUGGGUAUCGAACAGGAUUAGAUACCCCAGUAGUC